UACGUAGGUGGCAAGCGUUGUCCGGAUUUACUGGGCGUAAAGAGCGCGCAGGCGGUCGUAUAAGUCGAAUGUGAAAGCCCCCGGCUCAACUGGGGAGGGUCAUUCGAUACUGUUCGACUCGAAGGCAGGAGAGGGAAGUGGAAUUCCGGGUGUAGUGGUGAAAUGCGUAGAGAUCCGGAGGAACACCAGAGGCGCAGGCGGCUUGCUGGGUCUGUAUUGACGCUCAGACACGAAAGCAUGGGGAGCGAACAGG
RNAcentral lists this ribosomal RNA (253 nucleotides) under uncultured bacterium. RNAcentral describes it as "partial 16S ribosomal RNA". It matches the Rfam family "Bacterial small subunit ribosomal RNA", at positions 524 to 776 of the family's 1533-position model. The record is from RNAcentral.